This 448-nucleotide ribosomal RNA is filed under the name Bacillus sp. R-30608. RNAcentral's name for it is "bacterial SSU rRNA". It matches the Rfam family "Bacterial small subunit ribosomal RNA", at positions 28 to 465 of the family's 1533-position model. Lineage: Bacteria; Bacillati; Bacillota; Bacilli; Caryophanales; Bacillaceae. The record is from RNAcentral.
GACGAACGCUGGCGGCGUGCCUAAUACAUGCAAGUCGAGCGGACCGACGGGAGCUUGCUCCCUUAGGUCAGCGGCGGACGGGUGAGUAACACGUGGGUAACCUGCCUGUAAGACUGGGAUAACUCCGGGAAACCGGGGYUAAUACCGGAUGCUUGAUUGAACCSCAUGGUUCAAUCAUAAAAGGUGGCUUUYAGCUACCACUURCAGAUGGACCCGCGGCGCAUUAGCUAGUUGGUGAGGUAACGGCUCACCAAGGCGACGAUGCGUAGCCGACCUGAGAGGGUGAUCGGCCACACUGGGACUGAGACACGGCCCAGACUCCUACGGGAGGCAGCAGUAGGGAAUCUUCCGCAAUGGACGAAAGUCUGACGGAGCAACGCCGCGUGAGUGAUGAAGGUUUUCGGAUCGUAAAACUCUGUUGUUAGGGAAGAACAAGUACCGUUCGAAC